Pongo pygmaeus (Bornean orangutan) is the source of this 7564-nucleotide long non-coding RNA. RefSeq lists it as uncharacterized. The transcript has 2 exons. NCBI's taxonomy places the organism in Eukaryota, Metazoa, Chordata, Mammalia, Primates, Hominidae. The record is from RefSeq and is a predicted model, not a curated record.
GUAUAAUUGUGUUCUCGUAGUGUACUACCCAUUACCCAGGAGAAGUUGUGUUACAUGUUCGUGGGGCUGAACUAACCUUUCUUCAUAGAAACACUUUACCUGCAGCUUUUUCUUUGAAUCAGGUGGUUUGAUUGAACCUGAGGACCCGGCAGAGUGGAAAGAGCAUGCAGUGUGAAGUCACUCAGGUCCCAGUGGGAAUCUGGGCCCUUCUGCUCAUUCAUGUGUGAUCCUAGGCCAAUCUCCUAUCUUUUCUGAAACUUAAUUUGCACUUCCCUCCACCUUAGUCAUACGUUCCAUUGGUCCUAUCUUAGAUCUUUUUAUCACCUCUAACUGCCCACCUCUGAAGUUUCAAUUUCAUAAUCCAUAUAUCCCGCUCUGACCACUCCCUUUUAGGCUUUCACCUCACUCUCUUCACUACCUCCACUACAGAGGAUCUUAGACCCCACUGAAGUCUCCAAUCCCUGGCUCAGGUUAGGAUAAGGAUAAACUGCUAUAGCUAAAAGACCCCACUUGCAGUGAUUAAACAAGAGGGGAGUUUUUUUCUCUCUCAGGUCACAGUGCAAGGCAGAUGUUCAGAGUCAGUGAGUGGUUCUGCCACAUACAGCCUGAAGGACCCAAGUGUCUUCCAUCUUGUUUCUUUGCCAUUCACUGUGGUAUUGUCCUAGAUUGAGAUAGGGAGAGUCAUAGGGAGAGUAUGAGUGUGGAGGAGACUCUCCAUUAGGAUCACACAUCACUCCCCUUCAUGUUCCAUUGGAGAGGUCCUCACCAUAUGGCCACUUAACAAGCAAGGGAGCUUGGGAAAUGUAGUGUGCCUGGCCCGCUGUGUCCUGUGUACUCUUGCAUUCAGAAGAAAAGAGAAUGAGUUUUGGUGGACCACUAGCCUUUGCUGGGAUACUGCAUCUUCAUAGCUGUCACCUACCCUCAGAUCCUCUCUUCUUUCCUUAUUCAGCCUAGGUUGCAUAAUCUAACACCAUAAUCACUCCCUUAACUUCCUUGCUGUUCUGCCUCCUUCAUGCAAAUUUGGAAAACUCUCAACUCUGUACAUGUCUGUCUCUGAACAGCUGAAAAUAGCUGCAGAAAAACCACAUCUAUUCUUAAAUUCAUGACCACAGACUUAAAAUGGGCACUAAAGAUCGCUGAGCAAUUCUUUCAACAUUGUAAGACUUUCCUUAUUUGUUUACUUUCCAACUCUCUGAAAUUGCUGUUUUGCACCUUUGCCUCUCACUUCAAAACCCCUCCUUCAGUAGGCCAGGCUUGGUGGCUCAGGCCUAUAAUCUCAGUGCUUUGGGAGGCCAAGGUGGGAGGAUUGCUUGAACCCAGGAAUUCAAGGUUCCAGUGAGCCUCACUGUACUCCAGCCUGGGCAACAGAGCGAUACCCUGUUUAUUAAAAACACAUUAAAAAACUCCUCCAUUAUCUCAGCUGGUUAUCUUGCCAUUUGGCAGAAAUAGAAUCAGGUGGGAACUCCCCUUUCUUUACCAUGUUAGCUAUGACUUGCAUCUGUACUUGUUCCCUGCCUUACCUCCUAUUGCAGCAAAUGGAAUAAUCCCUGUUCUCUAAAAGGCAAGCCCCUCUACCUGUCCACUGGAUCCUGUCUCCUUGUGGCUUUUCAAAAGACCCUGGUCUUUGUUUCUGCAAUUAUUUUAUCUAUCUUGCAUCAUAUUUCUCUUGGUAAAUCAUUUUUGUUGCUAGAAGAUCUUUGGUCUUUAAAAAGUCCUGCUUUGACCCCUUAUUCUCCUUUGUUACUGCUCAUUUCUCUGCUACCCUUCAUAGCAAAACUCAAAAGAGUUGUCUAAAUUAAAUGAUUUCACUUCCCUGUGGCCCAUUUCCUCAACCCACUCCAAAGAAGUCUCUGUCCCCACCCCUCCUCUGAAACUGCAGUUGUCCAGGUAACCAGUGAUUUCAUGUUGCCAAUACAGUGGUCGCCUCUAGUCCUUCUUUUCCUCAACCUCCCAAUAUUGGACGUAGUUGAUUUGUCUCUGUACCAAGAAAUGCUUGGUUCUCUUGUUUCUAGGACAGUAUAUGGUUUUUUACCUGCCUUACUGAUUGUUGCUUCUUGGUCCCCUUUGUUGGCUUCCCCUUGUUUGCAUCUAUUAAGUGGCUUUCAGCUGCAAAAACAGAAAACCCAAAAUUUCUGGCUUAAACAAUAAGGAAAUUUAUUGUCUCACAGAAUUGGAAAUCCAGAUGUAGAGUGAAUUUCAGGGUUGUAUGCUCCAGGUCAGCAGUCCCCAACAUUUUUGGCACAAGGAACUGGUUUUAUGGAAGACAAUUUUUCCACAGGUUGGGCACAGGGGAGUGGUUUGGGAUGAUUCAAGUGCAUUACAUUUAUUGUGCACCAUAUUUCUAUUAUUAUUCUACUGUAAUAUAUAAUGAAAUAAUUAUACAGCUCACCAUAAUGCAGAAUCAGUGGGAGCCCUGAGCUUGUUUUCCUGCAACUAGACACUCCCAUCUGGGGGUGUUGGGAAACGGUGACAGAUCAUCAGGCAUUAGAUUCUCAUAAGGAGCACGCAUCCUAGAUCCCUCACAUGCACAGUUCACAAUAGGGUUCGUGCUCUUAUGAGAAUCCAGUGCCACCGCUAAUCUGACGGGAGUUGGAGCUCGGGUGGUAACGCAAGCAGCUGUAACUAGAGAUGAAGCUUUGCUCGCUUGCACACCACUCACCUCCUGCUGUGCGGCCUGGUUCCUAACAGUCCGUGGACAGGUAUUGGUCCAUGGCCCAGGGAUCAGGGACCCCUGCUCUAGGUAAUCAGCCAUGUCAUCUAUGGCCAAGUUCUUUCCUCCUAUUCCCUCCAUCCAGAAAAUCAGCUUCAUCCUAAGUCGGAUUCUUUCUGAGUAUGCUCAUAGGGCACUGGAUAGUGGAAAUGUGGGAUACAUGUUUCUUCACUGACAUCCUCAAAAAAGAAAUGCUCCCAGAUAUCUUUACCUCAUUGUACCAUGGACCUGAAUUAAGACACAUGACAUUCCAUGCAGACUAGUUUUGGCCUAGGAUUCUGAUCACUAGCAAAGAGUAUGGGACUAUCGUGAUUGGUUUAGACUGCUCAGGGGACAUCCCUAGAGUGAAGUCGGAUGUGUGGGAGAUGGACAGAACAGAGGUGGAUGGAAAAAAGGAAAUUGAGAAUAAUUCCUAAGUUUUCGGGUCAAAUAAAUGGAUAGAUAUUGAAGCUAUAUGAGAAGUCUUAGAGAAAAGACAGGUUGGUGGGGUGGGUGGUGGGUGUAAAUCAGUGUUGUUUUAGACAUGCUAGUUUUGAAAUGCCUAUUAGAUGUCCAAGUGAGGACGUUUUAAGUCAUAGGAUGCAUGAAUUUGGAGCUCAAGAAAGGAGUCAGGUCUGGAUUUAUAAUGUUAAAAGACAUCAGCAUAUAGCUAGAAUUUAAAACCAUGGGAAUGGACUAUAUAGAGUAAAAGAGGUGAGGAUCCAAGGCACUGGGUCACUCCAACAGCUGAAGGAGAGCAGAGGGGAAGCACUCACUUCAUUGAGUACUUGGCUCAUAUUAAGUUAUCAAUGCCUUUGUUUUUUUGUAUAUUAGUUUUAUUCCUAAAGGAUUUAAGGCAGUUCUUAGUCAAUUCCAGUGUCUUCUCUCCACAAAUGUCUGAUGGAUCUCAAGAAUCUGGAGAAACAAGUUCUUUGGAACCAAAAUUAUAAGAAAAGCAGGGACAGACUUUCAGAUCCAGAUUCUUCCCUGAACCUCUCUCUUCCCAUCCCUGCUUGGCAGGGAGCUGACAUGUCAGCUGUCAGUGCCAAGCUGCUCUGGACCUUGAGAGAAGGGCUCCAUUUAAGGAUAGCAAAACCUCUUUCAUUUGGAGCCCUUGCAGAGAAGCACAGUAUAAAUGAGUGAAAAACCUAAAUUAGAUAAUUUUUAAAAGAAUGGUAGCUUCAUUAUUUUCAAGUACACAGAGUAACUUAAACUCAGUCAUGAAGUGUUCCUUUGUAGAAGCCCUUAGGGACUUUCCUUAAUGAGUAGAUUAUAAUUAUUGGUAAUCAGCAUAACAGUUCUCUGUAAUGCAUGCUUUGAAAGCAAUUGAGCAUAUUAAGUGAUUUUGAUGUUCCACAGGGCAAAUUUGUUUACAGCAUUUAUCUGCUCAGUAUAUACCCUUUAUAGCUAUAACCCUCUGUUUGAAAGAAAAACUUCUGAAGUCUCUCUUCAUCAGGCAAUGUUUGAUUACCAGUGUAGGAGGCAGGGAGAUACUUAGUAGGACUUGGAUUCUUUAUCCGUGGUGCCCGAUAGAAUUAUGGGAAUAACUUUCAUGUGAAGCCUGGUGCAAACCCUGGCUCUGUCACCUAUGAUGUACCCCUGGGCUUGAUGAUAAGAAUUUUAGUGAGUCUGUUUCUCCUCUGUAAAAUGGGGAUAAUUUCUACUUUUCAGGGUUGAUGUGAGCACUAAAUGAGUACUAAUUAAAGCUCUUGAUAUAAUAAGUGCUCAGUAAAUGCACCCUGCCUUCUCCCUUCUCUGUAAAUCUCUUGGCCUGUGUGGGAGGGUCUCCUGCCUCUUUAGUGUCACAGACUGCUCCCAGCCCAGGUUGUACCUCUUCAUUUCCUAGUGACCAACUGACAUAAGCUUGCCGCUUCUCUAGGCCUAACCCCUGCCCACCCAUGGCAGUUGAGGUGGUGCCAUUCUCUUGCCAUGCAUACCUAAGGCUGAGGAGACCAGAACACCUCUAACCUGCUUUGCCACCAAACACAUUGGUUAAAGGGAGCUUUGUUUGCUGAAGGUUUGUUAUUGGUGUGUUGUUGAUGGCUAACAUUUAUUAAAAGCUUACUUGCUAUAGGCCAGAUGCUAUGCCAAGCACCUUAUAUAGGAAAGAUUUGCAUUUCAUGAAUUUUGAGAUGCAGUUUUUGAAACUGGAGUGUAUCUUAAAGUUGGUGUCUUCUCAGUGUCAGCAAGGCAGCAGUUGCAACAUUGCUGUUCUCAUCGCCUGUGGAUGUGCAAACUGGGCGCACUCUUCCCAUUGUCAUCAUUUUUGUUGAGUAAUGUGCAUUGUUGAUAACCACAUGUGUUCAAUGUAAGUGCUUUUUAAGAUGCCUUCAAAAGAUUAUACUGUGAUUUGGUAUUAUAAUAAAAGGUGGUUUUGUACUCAGAAAGGCAGAGCAGUGGGGUUAAUUUGAUAUUAGUAAAGCACAGAUUUGCCAUCAGAGGAAUGAACAUGAUUUUUUACAAAGCAGGAGGUGUUUUUUGGAACUAAGAAAGAAAGAUAUCCACUAGUAAAUGAAGUUUUACUGACAUGCUGAGAUUCAUGCGAAAGGAUUGCCUAUCAAACAGCAAACAAGGCGCAACUAAAGGAGAAAUUGACCCAUCCUUUGGAAUAAAUGGAAGAAGUUUUAAUGUAGUGAGAGGCCUAGUGGAACCAAUUCAUGCAGAGCACAGGACUAAUCAUUGAGAUGUGAAUCGAUUUGUUAGAUGCUUCCUGCUCACUUUGAACAGGAGCUGAUUAAUUUCCAGGGACAUGUGAUUCAAUAUAGAAAAAAGUGAAACUAGAGGUUAAGUCAAAUAAAAAACAAAAUCUGAAAAAGGCCAAAAGCGCUUUUUGGAUACGUAUAUCUUAAAGGUACUGGCAUUUGUCUUAAUCAACUGUGGGAAGGCACACGGGAAAUGACUGUCGUGAAGAAAGAAAUGUGUUAUAUGCAUAGGUCCCUAGAAAUUGAAGGCGUGGUAUGCAUGCAGGGCCAUGGGUAAGCACCUGGAUUGGUCAGGAGGCAGAGGGAACAGGCAAAAACAUGGAUAAGAGCCUGUGUUGUGGUUUCUGCAGAAAUUAAUGUGCCAGACAGCAGGUAAGCAGGUUUGGGAUUGACUAAUUUGAAUUUUGAUGGGCCCUGGGGUCUAGGUGCUAUCCCUAGUUGUCUGGUACCUGGCCCUGGGGUGAUUAGGGCUGAGUGUGAGAGCCCUAUAAAAAGGUGCUUGGCAGUGUGGGCUCUGGGUUGGUUGGUUUGCAUAUGAAAGACAUGUUCUCAGGCAAGUUGUUUGCUAUCUCCAGGAAUUAGCAAACUCUGGGAGGGGCAGUCCAGGGUCAGUAUGGCCCCAAGAUGUCAAGGCAUCAGAAAACAAAAGACAUGGUUGAUAUAAUAUAAAAAUGAUUCCAAGCAAUAAGCAUUGUCAUGGUUUAAUUUGUUCUUAGAGUGACAGAUUGUGGUAGUCAACCUCUAAGAUGGCCUACAGUGACCCUACCUUCUAUAUUCAUGCCCUCCCACAUCGUAUCAUGGUUGGUUGGCAUGACCAAUAAAACACAGCAGAAGUGAUGAUGUGCCACUUUCAAGGCUUAUUUAUAAAAGACAUUUCAAGGCUAGGCUUCUGCACCCUGCCCGCACCCCUGGAAUCAUUCAGCCGCCAUAUCACAAGAACACACAGGCGAGCUCCUGGAGAGACCUCCUUGCUGAGGAACUGAGGCUUCCUGCCAAUAGCCAUGUGAAUGAAAUAUCUCGGAAUCCAGUCCUCCCGCUUCAUUCAAGCCUAUAUGACAGCAACCUCAUGAGAAACUCUGAGCCAGAACUGCCCAGCUAAGCCACUCCCAGAUUCUUGAUUCUCAGAAAUUGUGUAAGAUAAUAAAUGAUUUUUUUUUUUUUUUUUUUUUUUUUUUUGAGACAGGGUCUCCUUCUGUUGCUCAGCCUGGAGUGCGGUGGCAUGAUCAUGGCUCACUGUAGACCUUCUGGGUUCAAACGAUCCUCCCAUCUCAGCCUCCUGAGUGGUUGGGACCACAGAAAGAAAGAGGUGCCUUGUCCUCUCUCUCAACUGUCCCACCAUCAGUAACGGAACCAGGAAACCAGUCUUUGAGUAUGGAGUUAGCAAGAAAGCUGAGUGUUGGGCGGCUUUUUUUGUGGAAGCUCACUGCUUAUCCAUGUAAUGUUUCAUUAAUUCUUUGAUGCUGAAGUUUCACCUCCUGCAGGGAGCAUUUGCAGCACCCCAGGUGAGUUGUCAGCAGUCGCUGCCUGGCAGUAGCACGCAUUAACUCUAGUGAGCAGAGGUGGAGUGCAAAGGCUCCCCACACUGCUGCACCUUGAGCUGCUCUUCCUGGCCCAGCCUGUUCUGCUUCCUGGGACUCCAGAUCUGGUCUCCAAGUACUGUUUCUCUUCUAAGUGUAGUCAUUAACUUCCCAGAGUGAGAAGAAGAGACUAAAAAAAAAAGAGAGAGAGACUGUCUCUUAGUUUUAAUUAAUUGUUGAAAAAAUAGAGAGGGGCCCCAUAUUUCUACUGAAAGAAAGGAGAAGUUGGGGAAUGGGAAUAUUCUGAACAGGAAUGAAAAAGUGAAUGAAAAGUAAUCUUUAGAUUCAGUCUCUUUGCCCUAGUCUUUAAAAGUUUCUGUUGGGGGUUACAAAGUUUGAAAUCUGUCUUAAGGAGGGAUGUAUUACUCAAAAUAAAUUGCCUCUGUCAUUCAGUGUGAUAUGAUGGACUGUGGAGACUUGGUAGGGGCAGGAUGAGAGGAGGUUAGGGAUAAAACUCUACAUAUUGUGUACAGUGUAUACUACUCCAGUGAUAGAUGCACUAAAAUCUCAGCCUUCACCACUAGUUCAUGCAUGUAACCCAAACCACUGCUACCCCAAAAGCUGCUGAAAUAAAAAGCAACAACAACAAAAACAAA